ACGUCAGCUGUUCAAAUGGCAAGUGAGCUUUGUUCUCAGCCAGAAAAAUGGUGAAAUAAAUUAAUGCUUCGACCAAGAAACCCUGUGGUUUUUAUCAUAACACACGCAUGUUUCUGUCUACGCAUUCCAGACAUCACGUUGUAGUUAAUUUCUGAAUCCAAUAACAAAAUAUACUCAGAUAAUUGGUACCCGACAUGUGAUGGGUUUGAACAUGUUCAGAUGAUCUGGUAAAGUAUUCCUCACAUCAAGGUCCAACAGUGGAGCUGCUCCUACUGGAGUGGCUUUUGCAUAGCCCUCCUUAUUGAGAAAUGGAUUUUUCAGCCCCGCAAUGGGGAGAAAAUAGCAAAAAAGACACUCACGUGUGAGUCACUCAACAGUAAUCCUUAUUAGCAGUGAUAUGCCACAAUUUCAACAAUGGACUGUCUCGAAGAGAAAGCCUUCAACAUGUAGCAAUAAUCCAAAGCCGUGGUAAAAAAUGACGAAACUCAGAACUCAAACAAACAAGUCAUUAGUCUGCAACACUAAUGUCCUCUCAACGAUUAGCCAGAGAUGAUUUUUAAAAUGAGAAUAUCUGAAAUGAACUCGACUGCUCUCACAAACGAGAAUACUAAAAAUGAACCCGGCAGCUCUCAAAAAUUAAGUAAGAAAAAAACAGGAAAAAUAAUCCAGAAUACUUGUCCAGUACCAGAUCAAUCCCAAAAUCUAAUCAGUUCAUGCCAGUCAUGAGGUCAAACAUCCUUGAAAGUUUCAUCCGAAUCCAUCCAGUGGUUCUAGAGAUACCUUGUCCAUGGACAAACAAACAAACAUGACAGAAAACAAUACCACUGCCUUAGCUAAGGCGGAGGUAAUAACUGCAAAAUCGAAGACCUUAAUGUUCUAAUCAUUCUUUGUCUUUAUUUAACUUGGUCUUCUAUCAUAAUUCCAUUCACAUCUAUGAUGGUUUAUAGCAGGGGUUCUCAACUAUUAUUUAUCUAUGGACCCCUUCAGUUAUUAUUUUAUUCUGGUGGACCCCCAAACUCAUGUGAUAUUAAAAAAACUAGUUUUAUAGAAACCUCUUUUCAGAAUUCCUAUUUUGUUUUCCACAUGUUAACUUGUGUAGAUUGUACUAUGUAAAAUGUUAAAGAAAGAAACCUAGCUGUUUCUUGCAAUACAUACCAAUAUGUACACCUAAAGUGAAAUUUUUUCAAGUGCCCUUAAAAUACUAUUUGUUUUGUGGACCCUGAUUGAGAACCACUGGUUUAUAGCAAUAUGAAAUCAUACACAGUAUUUAAGUUGCUGUAUUUUACAGUGUUGGGAAGGAGGGAAAACCAAGUUAGCCUUGCUAGGAUUUGAAAUUAGAGAUGAAACUUAGUGAUUUGUGGGCUUUGACACAAAGCUACAACAGGAAGGGAGGGUAUUGAUUCUACCUGGGAUUCUAAACCAUUUUUUAUCUAUGGACCCCUUUGAUUACUAUUUUAUUCUGGUGGACACCUCUAACCAUUCAAUGUUUCAAAACUAGUUUUAUAGCAACUUAUUUCAAAAUUCCUAUUUUGUUGUUUUACAUAAUUUGUGUAGAUUGGACUAUGUAAAAUGUUAGAGAAAGAAACUUAGCUGUUUCUGGCAAUACAUACAUUUAAAGCAACAUUUUUCAGGGGCCCUUAAAAUACUGUUUUGGAUCCCCAGAUUACUCUUUUGUUAUGCAGAUCCCCAAAAAUCUUAUAUGGACCCCAGUUGAGAACAACUGGACUAGAUGGUCAUGACUGGAAUCUGCUUGAUCUGAACUAAUAUAAACAACAUCUGGUACUUACUUAUAUCAGUAUGUGGUUGCUCAACCAGCUAGAAAUAGUAGCCAAAUUUUCUGUCAUAUCAAAAGCUGCCAGUUUACCAAAUGAAAAUUAUUGGAAAAACAAAUAAAGAUAGCUACUUAGAUUAUUUUAAAAGAUGGAUAGAAAUUAAAUCUUUAUUUAUAUAUCUAAAGCGGCAUCUAACAAAUCAGCUAAAUUGUUGAAUCCUUCAGUAUUUUCAGCACUGCUCUACUUUGUUUCUUUGUUAAAUAUGUAUCCAUUAUGUUAAUUUUAUAUGGUGUUUCUUGAAGUAAACAAUAAUCUUCA
This is a long non-coding RNA of Octopus bimaculoides (California two-spot octopus), 2090 nucleotides long. RefSeq lists it as uncharacterized. The record is from RefSeq and is a predicted model, not a curated record. NCBI's taxonomy places the organism in Eukaryota, Metazoa, Mollusca, Cephalopoda, Octopoda, Octopodidae.